AUUGAACGCUGGCGGCAUGCUUUACACAUGCAAGUCGAACGGUAACAGGUUAAGCUGACGAGUGGCGAACGGGUGAGUAAUGCAUCGGAACGUGCCCGGUCGUGGGGGAUAACGCAGCGAAAGCUGCGCUAAUACCGCAUACGAUCUGAGGAUGAAAGCGGGGGACCGUAAGGCCUCGCGCGAUCGGAGCGGCCGAUGUCAGAUUAGGGAGUUGGUGGGGUAAAGGCUCACCAAGACAACGAUCUGUAGCUGGUCUGAGAGGACGACCAGCCACACUGGGACGGAGAAACGGCCCAGACUCCUACGGGAGGCAGCAGUGGGGAAUUUUGGACAAUGGGCGAAAGCCUGAACCAGCAAUGCCGCGUGCAGGAAGAAGGCCUUCGGGUUGUAAACUGCUUUUGUACGGAGCGAAAAGGUCUCCUCUAAUACAGGGGGCUCAUGACGGUACCGUAAGAAUAAGCACCGGCUAACUACGUGCCAGCCGCCGCAGUAA
Molecule: ribosomal RNA, 493 nt
Filed under: uncultured bacterium
Lineage: Bacteria
Description: partial 16S ribosomal RNA
Rfam family: Bacterial small subunit ribosomal RNA
Source: RNAcentral